GAUGAUGAAGAUGAGGAGGAAGAUGAGGACGGGGUGAUACUUCGGCUGGAGGAGGGCAUCAAUGGGAUAAAUGUUUUGGAUCAUAUUGAAGUUUUUGGUAGGGAUCAUAGUUUCCCCAAUGAAACUCUUCAUGUGAUGCCAGUUGAAGUUUUUGGUUCUAGACGUCAGGGCCGAACUACAUCCAUUUACAAUCUUCUUGGUAGAAGUGGUGACAGUGCUGUCCCCUUGCGCCAUCCCCUUCUAGUUGGACCUUCUGCAUCACACUCGGCCUCUGGCAGACAAUCAGAUAGGAACUUGGAGAAUACUUCAUCUCAGCUGGAUAGUAUCUUCCG
This 332-nucleotide unclassified non-coding RNA is filed under the name Hevea brasiliensis (rubber tree). The record is from RNAcentral. Lineage: Eukaryota; Viridiplantae; Streptophyta; Magnoliopsida; Malpighiales; Euphorbiaceae.